This 465-nucleotide ribosomal RNA is filed under the name uncultured bacterium. RNAcentral's name for it is "partial 16S ribosomal RNA". It matches the Rfam family "Bacterial small subunit ribosomal RNA", at positions 339 to 795 of the family's 1533-position model. The record is from RNAcentral.
CUACGGGGGGCUGCAGUGGGGAAUAUUGCACAAUGGGCGCAAGCCUGAUGCAGCCAUGCCGCGUGUAUGAAGAAGGCCUUCGGGUUGUAAAGUACUUUCAGCGGGGAGGAAGGGAGUAAAGUUAAUACCUUUGCUCAUUGACGUUACCCGCAGAAGAAGCACCGGCUAACUCCGUGCCAGCAGGCCGCGGUAAUACGGAGGGUGCAAGCGUUAAUCGGAAUUACUGGGCGUAAAGCGCACGCAGGCGGUUUGUUAAGUCAGAUGUGAAAUCCCCGGGCUCAACCUGGGAACUGCAUCUGAUACUGGCUAGCUUGAGUCUCGUAGAGGGGGGUAGAAUUCCAGGUGUAGCGGUGAAAUGCGUAGAGAUCUGGAGGAAUACCGGUGGCGAAGGCGGCCCCCUGGACGAAGACUGACGCUCAGGUGCGAAAGCGUGGGGAGCAAACAGGAUUAGAUACCCCAGUAGUC